RNAcentral lists this microRNA (21 nucleotides) under Callithrix jacchus (white-tufted-ear marmoset). RNAcentral describes it as "cja-miR-95". Its record names the gene cja-miR-95. Lineage: Eukaryota; Metazoa; Chordata; Mammalia; Primates; Cebidae. The record is from miRBase by way of RNAcentral.
UUCAACGGGUAUUUAUUGAGC